UACGUAGGGGGCAAGCGUUGUCCGGAUUUAUUGGGCGUAAAGAGCGUGUAGGCGGCCAUGUAGGUCCGUUGUGAAAACUCGAGGCUCAACCUCGAGACGCCGAUGGAAACCAUGUGGCUAGAGUCCGGAAGAGGAGAGUGGAAUUCCUGGUGUAGCGGUGAAAUGCGCGGAUAUCAGGAAGAACACCCGUGGCUAAGGCGGCUCUCUAGUACGGUACUGACGCUGAGACGCGAAAGCGUGGGGAGCAAACAGG
RNAcentral lists this ribosomal RNA (253 nucleotides) under uncultured bacterium. Its description in RNAcentral is "partial 16S ribosomal RNA". It matches the Rfam family "Bacterial small subunit ribosomal RNA", at positions 524 to 776 of the family's 1533-position model. The record is from RNAcentral.